RNAcentral lists this small RNA (383 nucleotides) under Arabidopsis thaliana (thale cress). RNAcentral describes it as "ATSL273220". The record is from RNAcentral. Lineage: Eukaryota; Viridiplantae; Streptophyta; Magnoliopsida; Brassicales; Brassicaceae.
UUUAGCUUAAUUCAAAACCUUAGUCUAUUGUAUGAUCUGAGAGCUUUGUGGAAUUCGACCGUAAAGUACUACAAUCGAUUUCUUAUUUGAAAGAGUGGUCUUAAGAUUAAUUUGACCUACAUCAAACAACAUUAAUUAGAUCUUAACAACCAUAAAUAUGAUUAUAUAGACAAAAUUGUAUAUAUAUAAAUAUAUAUAUAUAUAUAUAUUCAAAAAUAAAAUAUAGGUUAAUUUACCUUAAUUUUAUUUCAACAUGAAAUAAUAAUUAGAUAAACUAUAUAUUUAAUAGUUCAUUGAUUAAAUAGUGGAGUGGGUAGGAUUAACAAUAGUGUCAUAUAUGAUUUAAAUGAAAUGUUAAUUUCUUUUGAUGCUUCUAAUUGUGU